UAGUCGGGCGGGUAACGGCCCACCGAGGCGACGAUGCGUAGGGGUUCUGAGAGGAAGGCCCCCCACACUGGUACUGAGACACGGACCAGACUCCUACGGAAGGCAGCAG
RNAcentral lists this ribosomal RNA (109 nucleotides) under uncultured bacterium. RNAcentral describes it as "partial 16S ribosomal RNA". It matches the Rfam family "Bacterial small subunit ribosomal RNA", at positions 246 to 354 of the family's 1533-position model. The record is from RNAcentral.